Molecule: ribosomal RNA, 237 nt
Filed under: uncultured bacterium
Lineage: Bacteria
Description: partial 16S ribosomal RNA
Rfam family: Bacterial small subunit ribosomal RNA
Source: RNAcentral
CGCACGGGUGAGUAACACGUAUCCAACCUGCCGUCUACUCUUGGCCAGCCUUCUGAAAGGAAGAUUAAUCCAGGAUGGCAUCAUGAGUUCACAUGUCCGCAUGACUAAAGGUAUUUUCCGGUAGACGAUGGGGAUGCGUUCCAUUAGAUAGUAGGCGGGGUAACGGCCCACCUAGUCAACGAUGGAUAGGGGUUCUGAGAGGAAGGUCCCCCACAUUGGAACUGAGACACGGUCCAA